AGCAGCCGCGGUAAUUCCAGCUCCAAUAGCGUAUAUUAAAGUUGUUGCAGUUAAAAAGCUCGUAGUUGAAUUUCGGGAUCAAUUUGCUGGUCGUGCCUCUGGUACGUACUGGUAUUAUUGGUUUCUCCCUUCUGACGAACCAUGAUGUCAUUAAUUUGAUGUCGUGGAGAAUCAGGACUGUUACUUUGAAAAAAUUAGAGUGUUUAAAGCAGGCUAACGCUUGAAUACAUUAGCAUGGAAUAAUGAAAUAGGACGUUUGAUCCUAUUUUGUUGGUUUCUAGGAUCGACGUAAUGAUUAAUAGGGAUAGUUGGGGGCAUUAGUAUUCAAUUGUCAGAGGUGAAAUUCUUGGAUUUAUUGAAGACUAACUACUGCGAAAGCAUUUGCCAAGGAUGUUUUCAUUAAUCAAGAACGAAAGUUAGGGGAUCGAAGACGAUCAGAUACCGUCGUAGUCUUAACCAUAAACUAUGCCGACUAGGGAUCGGAUGAUGUUAAUUUUUUAAUGACUCAUUCGGCGCCUUA
RNAcentral lists this ribosomal RNA (520 nucleotides) under uncultured Glomus. RNAcentral describes it as "SSU rRNA". It matches the Rfam family "Eukaryotic small subunit ribosomal RNA", at positions 569 to 1090 of the family's 1831-position model. The record is from RNAcentral. Lineage: Eukaryota; Fungi; Glomeromycota; Glomeromycetes; Glomerales; Glomeraceae.